GACAGUGGAGCGCACGCGCAGCCACCACAAUCACCUUCCGGGUCCAAGUGCGGCGUUCGCGUCUCCACGCUCUGCGCGUGCCUGCGUGGGGGGCUUAGGCGGCCACAGAGAGCCCUCAGAAAGUUACUCCUGAAUAUUUUUAUCUCCUGGCAUCCUGUUCCAAUGAGUUUGUGAAAGCUGGUAAGUAAAUAUAUAGAUAUUUAUAAGUCAUAUUAAAAAUUAUGUAUUUUAGAUAUAUUAUAUAUUA
This 247-nucleotide long non-coding RNA is filed under the name Mustela putorius furo (domestic ferret). Its description in RNAcentral is "lncRNA (ENSMPUG00000028020.1)". The record is from RNAcentral. Lineage: Eukaryota; Metazoa; Chordata; Mammalia; Carnivora; Mustelidae.